GAGGAGAAGCGGUCUAUAUUUCUCCUACGGCAGCAUUUAUCAGACUGUGAUGUGAUUGCUUGUGUAAUUCUCUCUCUCCUCACUAUAUAUACUCCAGGAUUUACAUUUUAAGUUUCUACUUUCUGUGUAAACUUCAUCUCAAAUUUGACUUUCCCAGCAAUCUAACAUUUAUCAACAGCUCACUGAAAGCUCUGACAUCGUAAAAAGACCCACUGGCUCGUCCAUGUGGGAGAGCGUCUCUGAGGCUUCUCCGUGGAGCAUAUGAAGAUGUUUGGCACUGUCUGAGGUCAUAUGACUGGGACCUCAUGUUGACACAGUGCCCGUGCAGAUCCUCCAGGAUAAUCUCUCUGUUUUAAGGUGAGGACACAGCAGGAAGGCAGCCAUCCACAAGUCCAAAACAGAGCCCUCAAGAACCCGGCCAUGCUGACACCCUGAUCUUGGACUUCUCAGCCCCUAAAACUUG
This is a long non-coding RNA of Dama dama (fallow deer), 463 nucleotides long. RefSeq lists it as uncharacterized. The record is from RefSeq and is a predicted model, not a curated record. NCBI's taxonomy places the organism in Eukaryota, Metazoa, Chordata, Mammalia, Artiodactyla, Cervidae. The transcript is spliced from 3 exons.